UACGUAGGGGGCUAGCGUUGUCCGGGAUCAUUGGGCGUAAAGCGCGUGUAGGCGGUCCGGUAAGUCCGCUGUGAAAGUCGGGGGCUCAACCCUCGGAUGCCGGUGGAUACUGUCGGGCUUGAGUACGGAAGAGGCGAGUGGAAUUCCUGGUGUAGCGGUGAAAUGCGCAGAUAUCAGGAGGAACACCAAUUGCGAAGGCAGCUCGCUGGGACGUUACUGACGCUGAGGAGCGAAAGCAUGGGGAGCGAACAGG
This 253-nucleotide ribosomal RNA is filed under the name uncultured bacterium. RNAcentral describes it as "partial 16S ribosomal RNA". It matches the Rfam family "Bacterial small subunit ribosomal RNA", at positions 524 to 776 of the family's 1533-position model. The record is from RNAcentral.